Molecule: long non-coding RNA, 605 nt
Filed under: Gossypium barbadense (sea-island cotton)
Lineage: Eukaryota; Viridiplantae; Streptophyta; Magnoliopsida; Malvales; Malvaceae
Description: long non-coding RNA (GBAR_LNC018655)
Source: RNAcentral
GGAAAGGUUGAAGAUGGACAUAGACCCAGUCGCCUUCUGCAAGCACAAGAUCUCGACAAUGUUUAUCAGCGUAAGCCUUCAUCUUAGCCUGAGCGCGUUGCAAAUUUUACUUGAGUAGAUUGAGUGUGGCGUCGCAAUCGCGCAUAUACUCAUCGACUAAAGGGGAACCUGCAAUACCUUGAUAUAACAGGUAAUGGUAGGUGGUGUCUGUCCAUAAAGGGCCUCAAAGAGAGUUAUCUGCGCAACGGUUUGGUAGGCAGUGUUGUACCAAUAUUCUGCCCAAGGUAGCAUAGUGACCCAAGUGUGAGGAGCAUCGGUUGUAAAACACCAGAGGUACAUAUCCAAGCAUUUGUUAAGGGCCUCUAUUUGACCAUCGAUUUGGGAAUGGUAAAGGGUGCUAAUAAUGAGUUCAGUUUCCUGCAGUCGGUGGAGUUCUUACCAGAAGGUAUGCAUAAAACGAGGAUCUUUGUUUGUGACAAUAGUUGCAAGUAUGCCAGGAAGACGAAUGAUAUUCGAGACAAAUGCUAAUGUGACAGUUUCGCUAGUAAAAUUGCCAAGAAGAACGGUGAAAUGGUCGUACUUGGAGAGACGAUCAACAACAACCA